This 780-nucleotide non-coding RNA is filed under the name Staphylinidae sp. BMNH 1274178. The record is from RNAcentral. Lineage: Eukaryota; Metazoa; Arthropoda; Insecta; Coleoptera; Staphylinidae.
AAAAAGUUUUAUUUUAGUUAAAAUGAUAAGUUUAUAUUUUUUUUACAUGUAAAUUUAAGUAUUAAGUAAUAUAAAUUUAAAAAGUUUAUAAUUAUGAAUUUUUAAUCUCAGUAUUUAGUUUUAAAUAUUAAGGAAACUUAGAUUUAGAAAUUUAUUUUAAUAUUAACAUAAUUUGUGCCAGCAGUUGCGGUUAUACAAAUAAUAUUAUUUAUCAUUUUUAAUUUGUAAUUAAUUGUAAUUUUAUAAUUUAGAAAUUAUAGUUUAUUAAGUGAAAUUUUAAAUUAUAGUAGAUUUUUAUUUAAGUUUAUGAAGUUAUUAAAUUUUAUUUGAAACUAGGAUUAGAUACCCUAUUAUAAAAAUGUAAAUAAUAAAAGUUAAAUUAUUAGUAGUUAUAGUCUUUAAAGUUAAAAAAUUUGGCGGUAUUUUAAUCUAUUCAGAGGAACCUGCCCUGUAAUUGAUAUUCCACGAUUAAAUUUACUUUCCUUAGAAAUUUGUAUAUCGUCGUAGUUGAAUAUUUUAGUAGAAUUACAAUAUUCAAAAUGUUUAAAUAGAAUAUAAAUCAGAUCAAGAUGCAGUUUAUAGUUAAGAAGAGGUGGGUUACAAUAAUGGUUAUUUAUGGAUUAUGUUUUGAAAAAAUUUAUGAAAUUGGAUUUGAUUGUAAUUAGAUUUAUAUUAGUUUAAUGAUUAAAGCUCUAAAAUAUGUACAUAUCGCCCGUCGCUCUCAUUUAAGUUGAGAUAAGUCGUAACAUAGUAAAUGUACUGGAAAGUGUAUUUAGCUUG